Molecule: long non-coding RNA, 214 nt
Filed under: Carica papaya (papaya)
Lineage: Eukaryota; Viridiplantae; Streptophyta; Magnoliopsida; Brassicales; Caricaceae
Description: long non-coding RNA (CPAP_LNC002861)
Source: RNAcentral
CAUUACCAGUAAGUGCUGUCUGAUCUCCGGGCAGAGACCCCACUGGAAUUUCCUGGCCUUUCGGCCCUCAUCCAUCAAUGUCUCCGGGGCAUAUCGGCCCAGCUCCAGGAACUUACGAGCAUACUCCAACACUGUCAUGUUUUCCUGGACCAAUUGAGCAAACUCCAUUUCCUUCAGGUGUUGGAUGUGUUUAGGGAAAUACUCUGCGUGGAAG